AGCGAACGCUGGCGGCAGGCCUAACACAUGCAAGUCGAACGAACCUUUCGGGGUUAGUGGCGGACGGGUUAGUAACACGUGGGAACGUGCCUUUUUGUUCGGAAUAACUCAGGGAAACUUUUGCUUAUACCCAAUUUGCCCUUCGGGGGAAAGAUUUAUCGCCUUUAGAGCGGCCCUCGUCUGAUUAGCUAGUUGGUUGAGGUAAUGGCUCACCAAGGCGACGAUCAGUAGCUGGUCUGAGAGGAUGAUCAGCCACAUUGGGACUGAGACACGGCCCAAACUCCUACGGGAGGCAGCAGUGGGGAAUCUUGCGCAAUGGGCGAAAGCCUGACGCAGCCAUGCCGCGUGAAUGAUGAAGGUCUUAGGAUUGUAAAAUUCUUUCACCGGGGACGAUAAUGACGGUACCCGGAGAAGAAGCCCCGGCUAACUUCGUG
RNAcentral lists this ribosomal RNA (434 nucleotides) under uncultured bacterium. Its description in RNAcentral is "partial 16S ribosomal RNA". It matches the Rfam family "Bacterial small subunit ribosomal RNA", at positions 29 to 507 of the family's 1533-position model. The record is from RNAcentral.